AGGGAAUCUUCCGCAAUGGACGAAAGUCUGACGGAGCGACGCCGCGUGAGCGAAGAAGGUCUUCGGAUCGUAAAGCUCUGUUGUUAGGGAAGAAGAAGUACCGUUCGAAUAGGGCGGUACGGUGACGGUACCUAACGAGAAAGCCCCGGCUAACUACGUGCCAGCAGCCGCGGUAAUACGUAGGGGGCGAGCGUUGUCCGGAAUUAUUGGGCGUAAAGCGCGCGCAGGCGGUCCCUUAAGUCUGAUGUGAAAGCCCACGGCUCAACCGUGGAGGGUCAUUGGAAACUGGGGGACUUGAGUGCAGAAGAGGAGAGCGGAAUUCCACGUGUAGCGGUGAAAUGCGUAGAGAUGUGGAGGAACACCAGUGGCGAAGGCGGCUCUCUGGUCUGUAACUGACGCUGAGGCGCGAAAGCGUGGGGAGCAAAC
Molecule: ribosomal RNA, 426 nt
Filed under: uncultured bacterium
Lineage: Bacteria
Description: bacterial SSU rRNA
Rfam family: Bacterial small subunit ribosomal RNA
Source: RNAcentral